RNAcentral lists this ribosomal RNA (460 nucleotides) under uncultured bacterium. Its description in RNAcentral is "partial 16S ribosomal RNA". It matches the Rfam family "Bacterial small subunit ribosomal RNA", at positions 338 to 795 of the family's 1533-position model. The record is from RNAcentral.
CCUACGGGGAGCAGCAGUGAGGAAUAUUGGUCAAUGGACGAGAGUCUGAACCAGCCAAGUAGCGUGAAGGAUGACUGCCCUACGGGUUGUAAACUUCUUUUAUAAAGGAAUAAAAUGUGGCACGUGUGCCUUUUUGUAUGUACUUUAUGAAUAAGGAUCGGCUAACUCCGUGCCAGCAGCCGCGGUAAUACGGAGGAUCCGAGCGUUAUCCGGCUUUAUUGGGUUUAAAGGGAGCGUAGAUGGGUUGUUAAGUCAGUUGUGAAAGUUUGCGGCUCAACCGUAAAAUUGCAAUUGAUACUGGCAGCCGUGAGUACAGUUGAGGUAGGCGGAAUUCGUGGUGUAGCGGUGAAAUGCUUAGAUAUCACGAAGAACUCCGAUUGCGAAGGCAGCCCACUAAACUGCCACUGACAUUGAUGCUCGAAAGUGUGGGUAUCAAACAGGAUUAGAUACCCCAGUAGUC